This 213-nucleotide unclassified non-coding RNA is filed under the name Hevea brasiliensis (rubber tree). Lineage: Eukaryota; Viridiplantae; Streptophyta; Magnoliopsida; Malpighiales; Euphorbiaceae. The record is from RNAcentral.
GCAUCGAAACCUAAUGGGUGUGUAGGAAUUAGGGGUCGGAGGCUUGUUCGUCGGAAGAGACACAGAGUUAGUAGAAAGAGAAAUGUAUCGAAGACUCAUUCGGCUUCUCAAAAUCUCAGUAAGAUUGAACCAUCUUCUUCAGCUGAUCAUUCUUACUCUAAUCCUGCUUUUCAAGGAAAUGCAGAGUCUUGGUUCGACCCGGAGAUGGUGGUU